This 252-nucleotide ribosomal RNA is filed under the name uncultured bacterium. Its description in RNAcentral is "partial 16S ribosomal RNA". It matches the Rfam family "Bacterial small subunit ribosomal RNA", at positions 524 to 776 of the family's 1533-position model. The record is from RNAcentral.
UACGGAGGAUGCGAGCGUUAUCCGGAUUUAUUGGGUUUAAAGGGUGCGUAGGCGGACUGUCAAGUCAGCGGUAAAAUUGAGAGGCUCAACCUCUUCCCGCCGUUGAAACUGGUGGUCUUGAGUGGAUGAGAAGUACGCGGAAUGCGUGGUGUAGCGGUGAAAUGCAUAGAUAUCACGCAGAACUCUGAUUGCGAAGGCAGCGUACCGGCAUCCAACUGACGCUGAGGCACGAAAGCGUGGGGAUCAAACAGG